UUUGAUUAUAAUWUAAGGUCUAGCSUGCCCUAUGAGUGUUCUUAAAUGGCCGCAGUAUCUUGACUGUGCAAAGGUAGCAUAAUCAAUAGUUUUUUAAUUGAAAGCUGGAAUGAAAGGUUUUAUGAGAAAAUAGCUGUCUCUAAUAAAAUUAUUUAGAAUUUUAUUAUUAAGUGAAAAUGCUUAAAUAAAAAUAGAAGACGAGAAGACCCUAUAGAGUUUUAUAUUUAUAUAUAUAUUAUAUUUUAGUAUUUUUAUUAUAUAUAUAUAUAUAAGUAUUUAAUUGGGGUGAUUGAAAAAUUAAAAUAACUUUUUUUGUAUUGUAACAUAAAUAUAUGAUAUAUUGAUCCUUACUUUAAGAUUAAAAGAUUAAAUUACCUUAGGGAUAACAGCGUUAUUUUUUUUAAGAGUUCUAAUCGAAAAAAAAGAUUGCGACCUCGAUGUUGGAUUAAAAUUAAUUUAUGGUGUAGAAGCUAUAAUAUUAGGUCUGUUCGACCUUUAAAAUUUUACAUGAUCUGAGUUUAAACCG
This 526-nucleotide ribosomal RNA is filed under the name Rhinoncus castor. RNAcentral's name for it is "partial 16S ribosomal RNA". It matches the Rfam family "Bacterial large subunit ribosomal RNA", at positions 1834 to 2618 of the family's 2925-position model. Lineage: Eukaryota; Metazoa; Arthropoda; Insecta; Coleoptera; Curculionidae. The record is from RNAcentral.